RNAcentral lists this ribosomal RNA (530 nucleotides) under uncultured bacterium. Its description in RNAcentral is "bacterial SSU rRNA". It matches the Rfam family "Bacterial small subunit ribosomal RNA", at positions 791 to 1322 of the family's 1533-position model. The record is from RNAcentral.
UAGUCCACGCCCUAAACGAUGCUAACUCGAUGUUUGGUUCGUAGAAUCGAGCGUCCUAGGGAAACCGUUAAGUUAGCCACCUGGGGAGUACGAUCGCAAGGUUGAAACUCAAAGGAAUUGACGGGGGCCCGCACAAGCGGUGGAGCAUGUGGUUUAAUUCGACGCAACGCGAAGAACCUUACCUGGGUUUAAAUUGCGGUGGACAGCUCCAGAGAUGGAGUCUCCCUUCGGGGCUGCCGUGAAGGUGCUGCAUGGCUGUCGUCAACUCGUGUCGUGAGAUGUUGGGUUAAGUCCCGCAACGAGCGCAACCCCUACCCUUAGUUGCCAGCGGUUCGGCCGGGAACUCUAGGGGGACUGCCGGUGAUAACCGGAGGAAGGUGGGACGACGUCAAGUCAUCAUGGCCUUUAUGUCCAGGGGCUACACACGUGCUACAAUGGUCGGUACAAAGGGGUUGCGAUACCGCGAGGUGGGAGCCAAUCCCAAAAAGCCGACCUCAGUUCGGGAUAGCAGUCUGCAACUCGACUGCUUG